Long non-coding RNA from Sesamum indicum (sesame), 546 nucleotides. RefSeq lists it as uncharacterized. NCBI's taxonomy places the organism in Eukaryota, Viridiplantae, Streptophyta, Magnoliopsida, Lamiales, Pedaliaceae. The record is from RefSeq and is a predicted model, not a curated record.
CUUGUAUUUUACUUCUUCUGUGAGAGAACAGGAGGAAGAAGGAGGAGGAGGUCACGCAGGCUGAAGAGAAGCAGCUCACGUAGCUCCGGGUUGCGAUUUGGAACUGCGGGGAGCAGAAUGAAAGCAGGAUUCCCUCAUGUUAUUACGAAGAGAAUCAAGCGACCUGCUGGUGCUUCGGUUCGAUUGAUGGCACUCUGAUCAUGUUCAUGAGGUUAAGACUGGAAGAAACUUUGGCUUCCAAUCCUGUUAAUAUCAAGUUUAAAAACCAGAAAAGUGAAAAGUGGACACCUCCUUGUCCCAAGUAUGAACGCGAAUGGUGCGAGCCCUUCCUUUCCCCCUAAACAUCAAAGGUUUGUUCUCGUCAAGAUCCUUGAAGAAACAAAGAGUUCACUUUCCUUUAUUACCUGCACCCUCCAGGAACUCAACAUAUGUCAAGGAAAUGAGAGUGGUAUAUGAUCUGUUGAAGCAUAACUGAUAUCUUUCCUUGCAAAUGGAUCUAAUUUAUCUUAUGAUGUAACCUAGAAUGAAGCUAUACUAAAAUAAGUA